UACGUAGGGGGCAAGCGUUGUCCGGAAUCACUGGGCGUAAAGCGCGCGCAGGCGGUCAUCUACGUCUGGGGUGAAAGCCCGGAGCUCAACUUCGGAAUUGCCUCCGAUACUGCCGUGCUUGAGGACUGGAGAGGAGAUUGGAAUUCACAGUGGAGCAGUGAAAUGCGUAGAUAUUGUGAGGAACACUAGUGGCGAAGGCGAAUCUCUGGACAGUUCCUGACGCUGAGGCACGAAGGCCAGGGGAGCAAACGGG
This 253-nucleotide ribosomal RNA is filed under the name uncultured bacterium. RNAcentral's name for it is "partial 16S ribosomal RNA". It matches the Rfam family "Bacterial small subunit ribosomal RNA", at positions 524 to 776 of the family's 1533-position model. The record is from RNAcentral.